ACGGAAGGCAGCAGUGGGGAAUAUUGGACAAUGGGCGCAAGCCUGAUCCAGCGACGCCGCGUGAGUGAAGAAGUAUUUCGGUAUGUAAAGCUCUAUCAGCAGGGAAGAUAAUGACGGUACCUGACUAAGAAGCCCCGGCUAACUACGUGCCAGCAGCCGCGGUAAUACGUAGGGGGCAAGCGUUAUCCGGAUUUACUGGGUGUAAAGGGAGCGUAGACGGCUUUGCAAGUCUGAUGUGAAAGCCCGGGGCUUAACCCCGGGACUGCAUUGGAAACUGUAGAGCUUGAGUGCAGGAGAGGUAAGUGGAAUUCCUAGUGUAGCGGUGAAAUGCGUAGAUAUUAGGAGGAACACCAGUGGCGAAGGCGGCUUACUGGACUGUAACUGACGUUGAGGCUCGAAAGCGUGGGGAGCAAACAGGAUUAGAUACCCUGGUA
Molecule: ribosomal RNA, 434 nt
Filed under: uncultured Lachnospiraceae bacterium
Lineage: Bacteria; Bacillati; Bacillota; Clostridia; Lachnospirales; Lachnospiraceae
Description: partial 16S ribosomal RNA
Rfam family: Bacterial small subunit ribosomal RNA
Source: RNAcentral